Molecule: non-coding RNA, 138 nt
Organism: Ornithorhynchus anatinus (platypus)
Lineage: Eukaryota; Metazoa; Chordata; Mammalia; Monotremata; Ornithorhynchidae
Source: Rfam
CCCCUCUCAGGGUCACACCUGGAGAGUUUCCAGUACUCUACCAGUCUUGGCUAUAGGAGGGAACAUCAAGCAGAGGCCUAUCCAUUCCAUUCCUAGCUUGGGCAGUGGCACACAAGUGGAAGACAAUCUGCUACAAGU